UCCAGGUGUGCCACCACACGUCUGUAGUCCUAGCUACUCAGGGGGCUGCAGCAGGAGAAUUUCUUGAGUCCAGGAGUUCUGGGCUGUACUGUGCUAUGCCGAACAGGUGUCCGCAGAAAGCUGAGCAUCAGUACCCUGGGAGUGGAGGACCACUAGGUUGUCUAGGGAGAGAUGAACCAGCCCAGGCUGGAAAUGGGGCAGGUUAAAACUUCCAUGCUAGGCCAGGCAAAGUGGCUCAUGACUGUAAUGAAGCACUUUGGGAGGCUGAUGUGGAAGGAUCCCUUGAGCCUAGGAGUUUGAGACCAGCCUGGGCAAGACAGGAAAACCCUGUCUCUA
Unclassified non-coding RNA from Callithrix jacchus (white-tufted-ear marmoset), 336 nucleotides. It matches the Rfam family "Metazoan signal recognition particle RNA". From Rfam's summary of the family: The signal recognition particle (SRP) is a universally conserved ribonucleoprotein. NCBI's taxonomy places the organism in Eukaryota, Metazoa, Chordata, Mammalia, Primates, Cebidae. The record is from Ensembl.